GACGAACGCUGGCGGCGUGCUUAACACAUGCAAGUCGAACGGAAAGGCCCUGCUUUUGUGGGGUGCUCGAGUGGCGAACGGGUGAGUAACACGUGUGUAACCUGCCCUUGACUUUGGGAUAACUUCAGGAAACUGGGGCUCAUACCGGAUAGGAGCUCCUGCUGCAUGGUGGGGGUUGGUAAGUUUCGGGGGUUGGGGAUGGACUCGCGGCUUAUCAGCUUGUUGGUGGGGUAGUGGCUUACCAAGGAUUUGACGGGUAGCCGGCCUGAGAGGGUGACCGGCCACAAGGGGAGUGAGAAACGGCGCAGACGCCUACGGGAGGAAGCAGUGGGGAAGAGUGCACAAGGGGCGGAAGACUGAUGCAGAAACGCCGCGGGCGGGAUGACGGCCUUCGGGUUGUAAACCGCUUUCGCCUGUGACGAAGAGUGAGAGACGGUAAGGGGUAAAGAAGCACCGGCUAACUACG
RNAcentral lists this ribosomal RNA (466 nucleotides) under uncultured bacterium. Its description in RNAcentral is "partial 16S ribosomal RNA". It matches the Rfam family "Bacterial small subunit ribosomal RNA", at positions 28 to 505 of the family's 1533-position model. The record is from RNAcentral.